CCUACGGGAGGCAGCAGUAAGGAAUAUUGGUCAAUGGAGGCAACUCUGAACCAGUCAUGCCGCGUGCAGGAAGACAGCCCUAUGGGUCGUAAACUGCUUUUAUACGGGAAUAAACUUUGAUUCGUGAAUCAAGCUGAAUGUACCGUAAGAAUAAGGAUCGGCUAACUCCGUGCCAGCAGCCGCGGUAAUACGGAGGAUCCAAGCGUUAUCCGGAUUUAUUGGGUUUAAAGGGAGCGUAGGCGGCCUAUUAAGUCAGGGGUGAAAGACGGUGGCUCAACCAUCGCAGUGCCUUUGAUACUGAUGGGCUUGAAUAUAGUUGAGGUAGGCGGAAUGUGACAAGUAGCGGUGAAAUGCAUAGAUAUGUCACAGAACACCGAUUGCGAAGGCAGCUUACUAAGCUAUGAUUGACGCUGAGGCUCGAAAGCGUGGGGAUCAAACAGGAUUAGAUACCCUGGUAGUCCACGCCCUAAACGAUGAUAACUCGAUGUUGGCGAUAUACAUCGAGCGUCCGACGACGAAGACGUUAAGUUAGUAACCUACCGUCGGGUUAGGUUACGUCCGCCGAGGUAGGAACGUUAACGAAGUAGUUAGGACGNGAGAGAGCGACGACGACGACGACGGAGGAGGAGG
Molecule: ribosomal RNA, 630 nt
Filed under: uncultured bacterium
Lineage: Bacteria
Description: bacterial SSU rRNA
Rfam family: Bacterial small subunit ribosomal RNA (bases 1-537)
Source: RNAcentral